Oreochromis aureus is the source of this 630-nucleotide long non-coding RNA. RefSeq lists it as uncharacterized. The record is from RefSeq and is a predicted model, not a curated record. The transcript is spliced from 4 exons. Lineage: Eukaryota; Metazoa; Chordata; Actinopteri; Cichliformes; Cichlidae.
UGGGGCUCCAGGCAAUAAAAGUUCAAGAGUCUUCUUCGAAUUCUUUCUACUAUUGCAGUCUCUGGGUUGCAUUCAAAACCAAGCUGGGUGUGGCCUGUAUGGAUCCCUGCCUCCUGUACCUGCCUCGGGCCGAGCCUACCAUCCUCUCACCCGGGCAGCGCACCUGGAGUUAAUUCAUGGCAACCAACAGAGGGUAUUUAUGGCCAGCUUCACCGUCGCCUUAACGCCAGUUCGUCAACCCACCUAAAUCCACUGGCCCACUAUGCCACGACACCACCACUAAGAUUCACGUUUUGGAUUCUGGUCACAAACCCUCAUAAGAUUUUCAGCCACACUCCAGGGAGUAUCACCAACCGCACUGACCUGCCUGCCUUCCUUCCAUCACCACCCACGCGAGUCCUGGAAUACUCAGGUCAGACCUUCUUAACACUCCUCUGCCAGUCACUCGGACCUCUGCCUCCCCCUCCAAGCCUCAGCCUCCUCCUGCCCAAUGCACCAGUCGCCGCUUAUGUCAUGUACCUCGGGCUACCGCGCUACAAUUCUCUACCUAGUAUUAUAUUGUGUAUCAAGAUACGCCAAGGUUCUAGGUUUUGUUUCUCCUUGUCAGUCCUGUGUCGUUGUAAAUAAAAG